Long non-coding RNA from Ficedula albicollis (Collared flycatcher), 750 nucleotides. RefSeq lists it as uncharacterized. The transcript has 2 exons. Lineage: Eukaryota; Metazoa; Chordata; Aves; Passeriformes; Muscicapidae. The record is from RefSeq and is a predicted model, not a curated record.
CUGAAGUCUAUGCCAUAAAAAGUGGCUGUUUCCAAGAAAAUGAAAUUAUCUUGUUAAUUGAUAAGCUCUAGCAUCCAGCUGCAGCUGAAGAGGUGACUGGUAUUUGUGUUUAAAAAGCAGAAAUGAUGGGGAGGUUUGCAGGAAUGUCACCUCAUCAGCCCAUACUCUAAAGUACCCCCGGUACAAAAAGUUUCCUCAUUUAAUAUAGGGCAAUAUGAGAAUGUAGUUUUAGGGCUGCCUCAACAAUCAUGCAGCUUUUUUCAUCAUUUAGAUUCAUUACUUUGCACUUUAAAAGACAAGCUAGGAGGGCAUAGAUAGAGAAGGAGUUUGUCACCUUUUCUGUCUUCAGCAGUGCAGAGGAAUCUCUUUCCCCCCUCUGUUGACUCUACAGAGCUCUCACAAAAUUCAGAUUCAGCUCUCAUAAACCCCAGGAGCUCCCUUAGGUACACUGUGUGAUUGCAGUGGGUAAAACUGAUUGGAAGUUUAUUUGUUGAUUGUAUUGUGCAAGACAAUCUUGCACCUCUGCCAACCUGAAAUGUUGUCUCACCCCAAGGUCUGGCUGAGCUGUUCUGUACCACUCCAGUCCUCUUACCUGGAGCACAGGCAGUCACAUGAACUACUUUUUGUACUGUUACCAAAUGUAUCUGUGAAGGGAAGGGAGAGAAUUUGGGCUGACCAAACGAUCUGAACGUGGUAGGAUUUCGGCUGUUAAUAUUUAUAAAAGAUGAUGAAUAUCCAAAUUUAGAGAGC